AUGAACGCUGGCGGCGUGCCUCAUACAUGCAAGUCGAGCGAACAGACGAGGAGCUUGCUCCUCUGACGUUAGCGGCGGACGGGUGAGUAACACGUGGAUAACCUACCUAUAAGACUGGGAUAACUUCGGGAAACCGGAGCUAAUACCGGAUAAUAUAUUGAACCGCAUGGUUCAAUAGUGAAAGACGGUUUUGCUGUCACUUAUAGAUGGAUCCGCGCCGCAUUAGCUAGUUGGUAAGGUAACGGCUUACCAAGGCAACGAUGCGUAGCCGACCUGAGAGGGUGAUCGGCCACACUGGAACUGAGACACGGUCCAGACUCCUACGGGAGGCAGCAGUAGGGAAUCUUCCGCAAUGGGCGAAAACCUGACGGAGCAACGCCGCGUGAGUGAUGAAGGUCUUCGGAUCGUAAAACUCUGUUAUUAGGGAAGAACAAAUGUGUAAGUAACUAUGCACGUCUUGACGGUACCUAAUCAGAAAGCCACGGCUAACUACGUG
This 496-nucleotide ribosomal RNA is filed under the name uncultured bacterium. RNAcentral's name for it is "partial 16S ribosomal RNA". It matches the Rfam family "Bacterial small subunit ribosomal RNA", at positions 29 to 507 of the family's 1533-position model. The record is from RNAcentral.